UACAGAGGUCCCGAGCGUUGUUCGGAUUCAUUGGGCGUAAAUGGUGCGUAGGCGGCGCGGUAAGUCGGGUGUGAAAUCUUGGAGCUUAACUCCGAAACUGCAUUCGAUACUGCCGUGCUUGAGGACUGGAGAGGAGACUGGAAUUUACGGUGUAGCGGUGAAAUGCGUAGAUAUCGUAAGGAAGACCAGUGGCGAAGGCGGGUCUCUGGACAGUUCCUGACGCUGAGGCACGAAGGCCAGGGGAGCAAACGGG
RNAcentral lists this ribosomal RNA (253 nucleotides) under uncultured bacterium. RNAcentral's name for it is "partial 16S ribosomal RNA". It matches the Rfam family "Bacterial small subunit ribosomal RNA", at positions 524 to 776 of the family's 1533-position model. The record is from RNAcentral.